Molecule: ribosomal RNA, 429 nt
Filed under: Chloroflexota bacterium
Lineage: Bacteria; Bacillati; Chloroflexota
Description: Chloroflexi bacterium partial 16S ribosomal RNA
Rfam family: Bacterial small subunit ribosomal RNA
Source: RNAcentral
UGGGGAAUAUUGCACAAUGGGCGCAAGCCUGAUGCAGCCAUGCCGCGUGUAUGAAGAAGGCCUUCGGGUUGUAAAGUACUUUCAGCGGGGAGGAAGGGAGUAAAGUUAAUACCUUUGCUCAUUGACGUUACCCGCAGAAGAAGCACCGGCUAACUCCGUGCCAGCAGCCGCGGUAAUACGGAGGGUGCAAGCGUUAAUCGGAAUUACUGGGCGUAAAGCGCACGCAGGCGGUUUGUUAAGUCAGAUGUGAAAUCCCCGGGCUCAACCUGGGAACUGCAUCUGAUACUGGAAAGCUUGAGUCUCGUAGAGGGGGGUAGAAUUCCAGGUGGAGCGGUGAAAUGCGUAGAGAUCUGGAGGAAUACCGGUGGCGAAGGCGGCCCCCUGGACGAAGACUGACGCUCAGGUGCGAAAGCGUGGGGAGCAAACAGG